This 2904-nucleotide ribosomal RNA is filed under the name Escherichia coli DEC3D. Its description in RNAcentral is "bacterial LSU rRNA". It matches the Rfam family "Bacterial large subunit ribosomal RNA". Lineage: Bacteria; Pseudomonadati; Pseudomonadota; Gammaproteobacteria; Enterobacterales; Enterobacteriaceae. The record is from RNAcentral.
UUAAGCGACUAAGCGUACACGGUGGAUGCCCUGGCAGUCAGAGGCGAUGAAGGACGUGCUAAAUCUGCGAUAAGCGUCGGUAAGGUGAUAUGAACCGUUAUAACCGGCGAUUUCCGAAUGGGGAAACCCAGUGUGAUUCGUCACACUAUCAUUAACUGAAUCCAUAGGUUAAUGAGGCGAACCGGGGGAACUGAAACAUCUAAGUACCCCGAGGAAAAGAAAUCAACCGAGAUUCCCCCAGUAGCGGCGAGCGAACGGGGAGGAGCCCAGAGCCUGAAUCAGUGUGUGUGUUAGUGGAAGCGUCUGGAAAGGCGCGCGAUACAGGGUGACAGCCCCGUACACAAAAAUGCACAUGCUGUGAGCUCGAUGAGUAGGGCGGGACACGUGGUAUCCUGUCUGAAUAUGGGGGGACCAUCCUCCAAGGCUAAAUACUCCUGACUGACCGAUAGUGAACCAGUACCGUGAGGGAAAGGCGAAAAGAACCCCGGCGAGGGGAGUGAAAAAGAACCUGAAACCGUGUACGUACAAGCAGUGGGAGCACAGAGCAAUCUGUGUGACUGCGUACCUUUUGUAUAAUGGGUCAGCGACUUAUAUUCUGUAGCAAGGUUAACCGAAUAGGGGAGCCGAAGGGAAACCGAGUCUUAACUGGGCGUUAAGUUGCAGGGUAUAGACCCGAAACCCGGUGAUCUAGCCAUGGGCAGGUUGAAGGUUGGGUAACACUAACUGGAGGACCGAACCGACUAAUGUUGAAAAAUUAGCGGAUGACUUGUGGCUGGGGGUGAAAGGCCAAUCAAACCGGGAGAUAGCUGGUUCUCCCCGAAAGCUAUUUAGGUAGCGCCUCGUGAAUUCAUCUCCGGGGGUAGAGCACUGUUUCGGCAAGGGGGUCAUCCCGACUUACCAACCCGAUGCAAACUGCGAAUACCGGAGAAUGUUAUCACGGGAGACACACGGCGGGUGCUAACGUCCGUCGUGAAGAGGGAAACAACCCAGACCGCCAGCUAAGGUCCCAAAGUCAUGGUUAAGUGGGAAACGAUGUGGGAAGGCCCAGACAGCCAGGAUGUUGGCUUAGAAGCAGCCAUCAUUUAAAGAAAGCGUAAUAGCUCACUGGUCGAGUCGGCCUGCGCGGAAGAUGUAACGGGGCUAAACCAUGCACCGAAGCUGCGGCAGCGACACUGUGUGUUGUUGGGUAGGGGAGCGUUCUGUAAGCCUGUGAAGGUGUGCUGUGAGGCAUGCUGGAGGUAUCAGAAGUGCGAAUGCUGACAUAAGUAACGAUAAAGCGGGUGAAAAGCCCGCUCGCCGGAAGACCAAGGGUUCCUGUCCAACGUUAAUCGGGGCAGGGUGAGUCGACCCCUAAGGCGAGGCCGAAAGGCGUAGUCGAUGGGAAACAGGUUAAUAUUCCUGUACUUGGUGUUACUGCGAAGGGGGGACGGAGAAGGCUAUGUUGGCCGGGCGACGGUUGUCCCGGUUUAAGCGUGUAGGCUGGUUUUCCAGGCAAAUCCGGAAAAUCAAGGCUGAGGCGUGAUGACGAGGCACUACGGUGCUGAAGCAACAAAUGCCCUGCUUCCAGGAAAAGCCUCUAAGCAUCAGGUAACAUCAAAUCGUACCCCAAACCGACACAGGUGGUCAGGUAGAGAAUACCAAGGCGCUUGAGAGAACUCGGGUGAAGGAACUAGGCAAAAUGGUGCCGUAACUUCGGGAGAAGGCACGCUGAUAUGUAGGUGAAGUCCCUCGCGGAUGGAGCUGAAAUCAGUCGAAGAUACCAGCUGGCUGCAACUGUUUAUUAAAAACACAGCACUGUGCAAACACGAAAGUGGACGUAUACGGUGUGACGCCUGCCCGGUGCCGGAAGGUUAAUUGAUGGGGUCAGCGCAAGCGAAGCUCUUGAUCGAAGCCCCGGUAAACGGCGGCCGUAACUAUAACGGUCCUAAGGUAGCGAAAUUCCUUGUCGGGUAAGUUCCGACCUGCACGAAUGGCGUAAUGAUGGCCAGGCUGUCUCCACCCGAGACUCAGUGAAAUUGAACUCGCUGUGAAGAUGCAGUGUACCCGCGGCAAGACGGAAAGACCCCGUGAACCUUUACUAUAGCUUGACACUGAACAUUGAGCCUUGAUGUGUAGGAUAGGUGGGAGGCUUUGAAGUGUGGACGCCAGUCUGCAUGGAGCCGACCUUGAAAUACCACCCUUUAAUGUUUGAUGUUCUAACGUGGACCCGUGAUCCGGGUUGCGGACAGUGUCUGGUGGGUAGUUUGACUGGGGCGGUCUCCUCCUAAAGAGUAACGGAGGAGCACGAAGGUUGGCUAAUCCUGGUCGGACAUCAGGAGGUUAGUGCAAUGGCAUAAGCCAGCUUGACUGCGAGCGUGACGGCGCGAGCAGGUGCGAAAGCAGGUCAUAGUGAUCCGGUGGUUCUGAAUGGAAGGGCCAUCGCUCAACGGAUAAAAGGUACUCCGGGGAUAACAGGCUGAUACCGCCCAAGAGUUCAUAUCGACGGCGGUGUUUGGCACCUCGAUGUCGGCUCAUCACAUCCUGGGGCUGAAGUAGGUCCCAAGGGUAUGGCUGUUCGCCAUUUAAAGUGGUACGCGAGCUGGGUUUAGAACGUCGUGAGACAGUUCGGUCCCUAUCUGCCGUGGGCGCUGGAGAACUGAGGGGGGCUGCUCCUAGUACGAGAGGACCGGAGUGGACGCAUCACUGGUGUUCGGGUUGUCAUGCCAAUGGCACUGCCCGGUAGCUAAAUGCGGAAGAGAUAAGUGCUGAAAGCAUCUAAGCACGAAACUUGCCCCGAGAUGAGUUCUCCCUGACCCUUUAAGGGUCCUGAAGGAACGUUGAAGACGACGACGUUGAUAGGCCGGGUGUGUAAGCGCAGCGAUGCGUUGAGCUAACCGGUACUAAUGAACCGUGAGGCUUAACCUU